Molecule: long non-coding RNA, 1806 nt
Organism: Monodelphis domestica (gray short-tailed opossum)
Lineage: Eukaryota; Metazoa; Chordata; Mammalia; Didelphimorphia; Didelphidae
Source: Ensembl
CUCAUGUACACAUCUAGUACAUGCGUGUACCAUCUCUGGGUCCCUUAAGUGUGCACAGAUACUCCGUGGGUCUGUCCAUUCUCUGUAUGAACGUGUACAUACUACGUGUGUGCCUUUGAACAAGGACAUAAGCGGGAUGGAGAUAAACCCAUUUCCUGGUUCCAAAGGCCUGCAGCUAUUUCCCCAGGAGAGCAGGAAAAGGAAAAGGAUCUGCCCGGUUCUGCGAUAUCCACAGCAGCUCUGCUGAUGUGUCUCCAGCUUUUGAUGGGGGGUUAAAAAGCAGCCUGGCUCCGAAGAAGCUCCCAUCCAGAGCAAAGUGACCCUGUGGCCAAGACUCAACGUCCUUCAGACUCCCCUUGUCCAGAAGGCUCCUGCGACCCCCAGCCUUUGCAUCAUCCCUUCCCUGGGCCCCAGAGCCACAGCCUGUGGUGGCAGACAAUUCUGCAAAAAGAGCCUUGUUUGAGAAGCUGAGAUGGGGACAUUGACCCCCCUUGCAGCUGAGGGAGAUCCGCAAGGGCAGAAAGCCCUACGGAAGAGUUGGACUCCAGAGUGGCUGAGGCAGGAUCAGGAGCCUGGGAGGAAAUUACCACCUACCUACCCAGAAGGGCAGGACAAGCUGGAGUGGGAGGGGGAAAUAGAUAUCUAUAUCCCCACUCCCUGUCCCCAGGACCUGCCUCUGUGGGCUUGGAAAGAAAGCCCUCAGGAAGGUUCCACAUGGACUCCCUCCAGCUCCUUGCGUAGACGGCCCAAGUCCCCCCAACUUCAUCUGCCCAGGGCAGCUCAUAUCUUCAAGGGCUCAGGAGCUCAGGAGAGGUUCAGCUCCUUUGGCUCUCUGCCCUCCACCUGGGAGCAACAAGGAAGCUUUUCCAGGCCCUACUCAUGGGCCCACCAAAACCUCCUGCCUCUUCGAAAGUUGGCCCCUUUGGGGACUCCUUGCCCUCUCCCACAAGCCAUCUCCCCACCCCACGGCUGGAAUCCGAUUAAGUCUCUGCCUCCCAGAAGGCUGGCCCCUCUAAGGCUUCCUUAUCCUCAGCCCCAGCCCACCUUGACCCUCAAAGGUAGCCUCAGGACAUGCCAGAGCCCCUGCAAGCGGCCACCUAACAGAUUGGCUCCUUUAGAGGUGUAUCAAAGAGGCUUCACGCCAGCCCCGUCCACACCUCCCCACUCAGACGUCCGGAUACCCUUCACUCCCACUUGAUGUUUCCCAUUCCUAAAUGAUGUAGAAAAAUAAAAAUAAAAUUUCCUAAAAAAGAAAAAAAAAAGCUACCUUGUAAAAAUCCCAAAAUAUCCCUAAAAGAGUCCUGAAAAGAUUUUUGUAAAUAGCCUCCAAACUGUGAAUCUCUUAUCACUGAUCAUUUAUGUUAUUGCUGAUAAUAUGCAGGUUAGAUCAUGGAAAAAACUGGGAAGUAGAUGAUCUUUGUUUUCUGCCCUCUCUACCCUUCCCUUUCUAUAGAAGGUAGAAACCAUAUCUCCCUAUUUACCAUCUAACUACCUGGUAAGGGGGGGUGUAUGGGGUGCUCAGGGAGGUGUAGUAUCUCUGGUUUGGAGGGCUUGCCGUGCCCUCCUAGGGCAGCAAUCCAACCUCUGACCCUCACCUGACACCCAGCUCUCACUGGUGGCUCCCAGUAGCUGCUAGCAUGCAGCAGCGGCCACACCCCGGGCAACGGCUUUGACAGGGUGGCUAAACCUUGUGAGAGUAGCCAUCAGGUCGUCGACCCCUGGUGAACCAGGGCUUUGCUCACCCAGCAUGUGAAGACUGUUUCGGCCGAACAGACGGAAGAAACCAAUAAGAAGGUUCAAUGGCUG